CCUACGGGAGGCAGCAGUGAGGAAUAUUGGUCAAUGGGCGUAAGCCUGAACCAGCCAAGUCGCGUGAGGGAUGAAGGUUCUAUGGAUCGUAAACCUCUUUUAUAAGGGAAUAAAGUGCGGGACGUGUCCCGUUUUGUAUGUACCUUAUGAAUAAGGAUCGGCUAACUCCGUGCCAGCAGCCGCGGUAAUACGGAGGGUGCGAGCGUUAAUCGGAAUUACUGGGCGUAAAGGGCUCGUAGGCGGUAUGUCAAGUCAAGGGUGAAAUCUCCGCGCUCAACGUGGAAACUGCCGUUGAAACUGGCAGACUGGAGUGUGUGGGAGGAUAGUGGAAUGCGAGGUGUAGGAGUGAAAUCCAUAGAUAUCUGGAAGAACAUCGAUGGCGAAGGCAACUAUCUAGCACAUAACUGACGCUGAGGAACGAAAGCGUGGGUAGCAAACAGGAUUAGAUACCCUGGUAGUC
RNAcentral lists this ribosomal RNA (460 nucleotides) under uncultured bacterium. RNAcentral describes it as "partial 16S ribosomal RNA". It matches the Rfam family "Bacterial small subunit ribosomal RNA", at positions 338 to 795 of the family's 1533-position model. The record is from RNAcentral.